CCUACGGGGGGCAGCAGUGGGGAAUAUUGCGCAAUGGAGGAAACUCUGACGCAGCAACGCCGCGUGAAGGAUGAAGGUUUUCGGAUUGUAAACUUCUUUGAUCGGGGACGAAAAUGACGGUACCCGAGGAACAAGCCACGGCUAACUACGUGCCAGCAGCCGCGGUAAUACGUAGGUGGCAAGCGUUGUCCGGAAUUACUGGGUGUAAAGGGCGUGUAGGCGGGAAGGCAAGUCAGAUGUGAAAUCCCAGGGCUUAACUCUGGAGCUGCAUCUGAAACUGUUUUUCUUGAGUACUGGAGAG
RNAcentral lists this ribosomal RNA (301 nucleotides) under uncultured Clostridium sp. RNAcentral describes it as "bacterial SSU rRNA". It matches the Rfam family "Bacterial small subunit ribosomal RNA", at positions 338 to 656 of the family's 1533-position model. The record is from RNAcentral. Lineage: Bacteria; Bacillati; Bacillota; Clostridia; Eubacteriales; Clostridiaceae.